RNAcentral lists this ribosomal RNA (464 nucleotides) under uncultured bacterium. Its description in RNAcentral is "partial 16S ribosomal RNA". It matches the Rfam family "Bacterial small subunit ribosomal RNA", at positions 339 to 795 of the family's 1533-position model. The record is from RNAcentral.
CUCCGGGAGGCACCAGUGGGGAAUAUUGCACAAUGGGCGCAAGCCUGAUGCAGCCAUGCCGCGUGUAUGAAGAAGGCCUUCGGGUUGUAAAGUACUUUCAGCGGGGAGGAAGGGAGUAAAGUUAAUACCUUUGCUCAUUGACGUUACCCGCAGAAGAAGCACCGGCUAACUCCGUGCCAGCAGCCGCGGUAAUACGGAGGGUGCAAGCGUUAAUCGGAAUUACUGGGCGUAAAGCGCACGCAGGCGGUUUGUUAAGUCAGAUGUGAAAUCCCCGGGCUCAACCUGGGAACUGCAUCUGAUACUGGCAAGCUUGAGUCUCGUAGAGGGGGGUAGAAUUCCAGGUGUAGCGGUGACAUGCGUAGAGAUCUGGAGGAAUACCGGUGGCGAAGGCGGCCCCCUGGACGAAGACUGACGCUCAGGUGCGAAAGCGUGGGGAGCAAACAGGAUUAGAUACCCUAGUAGUC